GUCUAAGUAUGAACUAAUUCAAACUGUGAAACUACGGAUGGCUCAUUAAAUCAGUUAUAGUUUCUUUGAUGGUACCCUACUACUCAUAUAAUCGUAGUAAUUCUAGAGCUAAUACGUGCACCAAGUCUUGACUCUUUGGAAGGGAUGCAUUUAUCAGAUAAAAGGCAAGUGCAGGCUUGCCUGCUUCUCUGGUGAAUCAUUGAUCUGGAUUUUAUGAGAAGAACGAAAUGAAUACAGAUUAUUAACAGGUGAUUAACACAAAAUAGCAGAG
Molecule: non-coding RNA, 271 nt
Organism: Picea glauca (white spruce)
Lineage: Eukaryota; Viridiplantae; Streptophyta; Pinopsida; Pinales; Pinaceae
Source: Rfam